Molecule: unclassified non-coding RNA, 221 nt
Filed under: Hevea brasiliensis (rubber tree)
Lineage: Eukaryota; Viridiplantae; Streptophyta; Magnoliopsida; Malpighiales; Euphorbiaceae
Source: RNAcentral
CCCAAGAAAUUAUUCCACAAAUAGUCUGCAACGUUUUUUUGCAUCAGCUUGAGAGGCCAGGGUGUAGCUUCCAAUCCCACCGCCAAGAGAAAGCAUCACCUUAAUUCCUUGGAUUUGGCAACUCCUGAUGCCAUUGCUGACAAUGGUGCAACCUCCAGCAGCCGGGUUACAAUGGCCGGCAAGGUUGAUUUGUGGGGUUUGACCAUUGCCAAAUUUAUUGA